CCCUUAGAUGUUCUGGGCCGCACGCGCGCUACACUGACCAGUGCAACAAGCAUCCGUCCUUGGCCGACAGGCUCGGGCAAUCUUUGAACGCUGGUCGUGAUGGGGAUAGACUUUUGCAAUUUUUGGUCUUCAACGAGGAAUUCCUAGUAAACGCAAGUCAUCAACUUGCAUUGAUUACGUCCCUGCCCUUUGUACACACCGCCCGUCGCACCUACCGAUUGAAUGGUCCGGUGAAAUCUCGGGACGGCGGCUUGGUCGCUUGCGUCCGACUGCUGAAACUUGAUUAAACCAUAUCAUUUAGAGGAAGGUGAAGUCGUAACA
This 321-nucleotide ribosomal RNA is filed under the name uncultured eukaryote. RNAcentral's name for it is "partial 18S ribosomal RNA". It matches the Rfam family "Eukaryotic small subunit ribosomal RNA", at positions 1470 to 1796 of the family's 1831-position model. The record is from RNAcentral.